This is a non-coding RNA of Pelobates cultripes (western spadefoot toad), 291 nucleotides long. The record is from the annotation of a GenBank genome assembly. Lineage: Eukaryota; Metazoa; Chordata; Amphibia; Anura; Pelobatidae.
CAUACACACACACACUCUGCUGAGUCCAUACACACAAACACACACAGACUCUGCUGAGUCCAUACACACACACAGACUCUGCUGAGUCCAUACACACACAGACUGCUGAGUCCAUACACAAACACACAGACUGCUGAGUCUAUACACACACACAGAUUGCUGAGUCCAUACAGACACACACACACAGACUGCUGAGUCCGUACACGUACACACACACAGACUCUGCUGAGUCCAUACACACACAAACUGCUGAGUCCACACACACACAAACUGCUGAGUCCACACACACAC